CCUACGGGUGGCAGCAGUGGGGAAUAUUGGACAAUGGGCGAAAGCCUGAUCCAGCCAUGCCGCGUGUGUGAAGAAGGCCUUCGGGUUGUAAAGCACUUUCAGUGGGGAAGAAAGCCUUGGGGCUAAUACCCUCGAGGAAGGACAUCACCCACAGAAGAAGCACCGGCUAACUCCGUGCCAGCAGCCGCGGUAAUACGGAGGGUGCAAGCGUUAAUCGGAAUUACUGGGCGUAAAGCGCGCGUAGGCGGUCUGAUAAGCCGGUUGUGAAAGCCCCGGGCUCAACCUGGGAACGGCAUCCGGAACUGUCAGGCUAGAGUGCAGGAGAGGAAGGUAGAAUUCCCGGUGUAGCGGUGAAAUGCGUAGAGAUCGGGAGGAAUACCAGUGGCGAAGGCGGCCUUCUGGACUGACACUGACGCUGAGGUGCGAAAGCGUGGGUAGCAAACAGGAUUAGAUACCCCGGUAGUC
This 465-nucleotide ribosomal RNA is filed under the name Vreelandella stevensii. RNAcentral describes it as "partial 16S ribosomal RNA". It matches the Rfam family "Bacterial small subunit ribosomal RNA", at positions 338 to 795 of the family's 1533-position model. The record is from RNAcentral. Lineage: Bacteria; Pseudomonadati; Pseudomonadota; Gammaproteobacteria; Oceanospirillales; Halomonadaceae.